CUUCUGCUGGGCUUCUAGCCUAGGAAAGGAUGACCUUGAAGCCUCCAAUAAACUUAAGACUUAUCCAGCUCCUCUCCUCCCUGACCUUUUGAAGGAGCAACUUUUAUUCAAUGUCGGCCUAAGCCCUCUCAACCCUGUCGGUAUUUUUUCUUUCUCAAGUCAUUCGCUGCUUCUUCUUUCUCUUAUUCUAUUUCUAAGCUGUGCCGAUCUUUUUUCCAUGGCAGAUAUGGAUGCAGACGCAGCUCAGAUAUUAGCCAAGGGUCUCAAGGCCCAC
This 274-nucleotide long non-coding RNA is filed under the name Elaeis guineensis (African oil palm). RNAcentral describes it as "long non-coding RNA (EGUI_LNC029384)". The record is from RNAcentral. Lineage: Eukaryota; Viridiplantae; Streptophyta; Magnoliopsida; Arecales; Arecaceae.